Cataglyphis hispanica is the source of this 543-nucleotide long non-coding RNA. RefSeq lists it as uncharacterized. Lineage: Eukaryota; Metazoa; Arthropoda; Insecta; Hymenoptera; Formicidae. The record is from RefSeq and is a predicted model, not a curated record. The transcript is spliced from 3 exons.
UAUAUCUGUAAGUUUUCGAGAUCUUUCUACGAAGUGACAUUGAUGACAUUAGAAGCAUUAAUCAAUUUCUGUUAUUUACAAUGGAAUCUUCGCUAGAAACAAUGCAUUUUUGUAUCUACGUAACAUAUACCAGUAGUGAACAACUAUCGUGCAAUUCUAGUAUAAGGUAAUGUUUUUAAAUAUUUUGUUUACUUUCUGUUCAUUUAACUUAAAAGAAGAUUGAUUUAUGAUGGCGUUUAUACUGCAGGCGAAAAUAAUAGAUCGGUACUAAUUUGCAAAUCAGAGAUCUAGCAUCAAAUGUCAGGAGAAUAUCCAUUUACAAAACACGAGAAUCUUUUAAGCGAGAGUUCACUGUAAUCUCCGCUAAUAGAAUUUUGUGAUGUGUAAUAGAAUCAUCAACGUUUAUUCAUUAACAUAUAAUGUCUCCUGAAGUAAUAAUGAUUUCAUAUUGUUCAUCUGUUAGAAGACGGAGUAAACAUUUGUAUUGUUAUUCAGUUAAUGGAUACAUCAGUGAAGACACUGCUUUAUUAUAUCAUACCCAAA